RNAcentral lists this transfer RNA (73 nucleotides) under Euleptes europaea (tarantolino). RNAcentral describes it as "tRNA-Asn". Lineage: Eukaryota; Metazoa; Chordata; Lepidosauria; Squamata; Sphaerodactylidae. The record is from RNAcentral.
UACAUUGAAGCCCGMUGGAUAGGGUGUAUAGUUGUUAACUAAAGUAAUAUGGGAUCAAAGCCCGUCGGUCUAG